RNAcentral lists this ribosomal RNA (253 nucleotides) under uncultured bacterium. Its description in RNAcentral is "partial 16S ribosomal RNA". It matches the Rfam family "Bacterial small subunit ribosomal RNA", at positions 524 to 776 of the family's 1533-position model. The record is from RNAcentral.
UACGUAGGGUGCGAGCGUUGUCCGGAAUUACUGGGCGUAAAGAGUUCGUAGGCGGUUUGUCGCGUCGUUUGUGAAAACCCGGGGCCCAACCUCGCGCCUGCAGUGGGUACGGGCAGACUAGAGUGCGGUAGGGGAGAUUGGAAUUCCUGGUGUAGCGGUGGAAUGCGCAGAUAUCAGGAGGAACACCGAUGGCGAAGGCAGCCCCUUGGACCUGUACUGACGCUCAUGCACGAAAGCGUGGGGAGCAAACAGG